This 488-nucleotide ribosomal RNA is filed under the name uncultured bacterium. RNAcentral describes it as "partial 16S ribosomal RNA". It matches the Rfam family "Bacterial small subunit ribosomal RNA", at positions 28 to 507 of the family's 1533-position model. The record is from RNAcentral.
GAUGAACGCUAGCGGCAGGCCUAAUACAUGCAAGUCGGACGGGAUCCAUUGAUAGCUUGCUAUCAAUGGUGAGAGUGGCGCACGGGUGCGUAACGCGUGAGCAACCUGCCUCCAUCAGGGGGAUAGCCUCUCGAAAGAGAGAUUAACACCGCAUAAUAUCAACAGUUCGCAUGUUCAGUUGAUUAAAUAUUUAUAGGAUGGAGAUGGGCUCGCGUGACAUUAGCUAGUUGGUAGGGUAACGGCUUACCAAGGCGACGAUGUCUAGGGGCUCUGAGAGGAGAAUCCCCCACACUGGUACUGAGACACGGACCAGACUCCUACGGGAGGCAGCAGUAAGGAAUAUUGGUCAAGGGGCGGAAGCCUGAACCAGCCAUGCCGCGUGCAGGAUGACUGCCCUAUGGGUUGUAAACUGCUUUUGUCCAGGAAUAAACCUAAAUACGAGUAUUUAGCUGAAUGUACUGGAAGAAUAAGGAUCGGCUAACUCCGUG